Long non-coding RNA from Homo sapiens (human), 1370 nucleotides. Ensembl annotates it as PRDX6 antisense RNA 1. Its record names the gene PRDX6-AS1. The record is from Ensembl. NCBI's taxonomy places the organism in Eukaryota, Metazoa, Chordata, Mammalia, Primates, Hominidae.
GGGCUGGGGCCGGGACGCGGCGCGAGCUGGACUACCGCGGUCGCUGUUGGUGGCGCCGCCGGGCCUGCGACUAGGUGGCAUCCUUCAGACACUAUAGGCCGUCUCUGCACACGUGAUGCGGGGCUCGGUCACGUUGCCCCCUGGAAGCUUGAGGAUGCGCCAGGUUUGACUCUGCAGGGCGUACGCGCUUUAGGGAUGGAAGGAAGAGGAACGCGGCAGGAAGGCGAGCCCCAAGGUGGAGAAUCGCCUGGGCGCGCAGGCUGCGGCGGCUUCGCACAGCCGCCCUGGGCGCUGCACGGGUCCGCGCGCACCCUGCUGCGCACCCACUCGCGGCCAGCUCCCUACAGAGGAGUGGAGUGACUGCUCGACUACCACCCCUCUUUUAGUGUGAGCGUCUGGAGUCCUGACCGCCCCAGCCAGCCCAGCUACGAUGAACUGUCUAAGAGGAUGUGGCAAGACCCAGAAGUAUGGGUGACCUUAUGUCAGAGGAAGUGGCUUUCUUAUUGCAGCAAAAAUUCCCGUACCAAUGUCAGUGCUAGGUAUGAAAGUUUUCAAGACGCCUACAAGUGGAAAAUGCACUCCUCCCAGCCAAAUCAAGCUUCGCCAGAUUCCUUACAGCUGUGUGCAGUGAAAUGACUAAUGAAAGAGCCCUCUGCUGCUGGUGGAACUUUCACAUAUGGCACUGUUAUGCCACUCAGCAGGACCCGACCCUGGUAUUUACAUAUUGGAUGUCACCCCAAAAGCCCCUGACCAGGGGGUUUCCGGGAUGUAAUAAGAAUGCCACUCUGGGCUUUGGAAGGUGCACCGUAUGCACACCCAUACUAUAGGGCAGGGGUUAGCAUUUCAGACCCCUGUUCCUCCCUUGACAAGCAAGUGCUUUUCUCCAGGGAAGACGUUCAGGUUCAUUCAUAGAUCCAUUGGUGCCGUGGGCAGCUCAGUAACAAUAGCUCUGCUGCCUACCAGCUGCUGGUGGAGGUGUUGAGAAUACCUAAUGAGGAAGUCAGGGCCCCUGCGUGCUUCAGCAGAGCUGGAUGCCUGGCAUGGCAAUCAAUGGACACAAACCUUUGGAUAAUUUCCGUCCUUGGCGGUGUGUUCUAUAGCAUAGGUAUGAAGUGGGUGCUCUGGGAGCUCAGAAGAGGGGCUCUUCUCUUAACUUAUGGGUGGCCAGGGAAGGCUUCCUGGAGCUCAAAUGACUGAGUGGAGUCUUCAACAUUAAAAAAAAAAAAAAGAAAAAAAAAGUGCUUCCCUCCCACCCCCAGUUAAAAAGGUAAUACACCUCAUUGAAAUAAUUUAAACUUUACAGAAAUGUGUUCCUUUAAAGUUCAGAGAGUAAAGAGGAAGUAAUAAAGCUGAAAUAGUAGAAUUUCUAA